GAAAAUUGUGAAAAAACCCCCCGAACCAUUAAGCAGUUUGUCUACUAUUUUUAUACGAUUACAAAAUGGCAGGAAAAAAGGUCCUUCCCCCUCCCCCUUUUUGGUGAUGUGAUUAUACAUGAGACAGGCACAAGGUUAACAAAGGAGGGUGAUGGGAGUGAUGGAAACCACAGCGAGGACCAGACGAUGUUCCACAGGCAAGGGGAGCAUGGCAGACGAAGAGUCUAAUUGACACUGACAAGAACUGGAGGUGAAGGAAACAUGAUUACGUGAACCAGUCAGUGAAAACAAAAUUAUACAGGGAAGAUGGCUGCUCACUUCCCAAACCCCCUAGGGAGAGGAGACAAAGAUUAAGUAGUCCUAAACUUAACUUUAUAGACCAGGACAGGUGGUAAAUACCUUCAGAGUGGAAGGACCAAUGUGUGCACGGCAGAGGACAGACAGGAUAGGGGAGGAGAGGGCAGGAUGGGGGGAAACCUGAGCAGCCACAGCCAGGUUACUGUAGUUAAGGAGUCAAGACAGAGAUGACCAAAUGCAGAUAAAACUGAAAAGUCUGUAAGAUACUGGAGACAAGGGGAAGCCAUUCUGCCAGCUGAGAACUCAAGUGAGAGCAGCUGGCAGUUACAGCAAAGAGGCUCUGGUGAGUGCACCAGCCCAGAAAACUAGGUGGACUCAGCCAGGAAGGAAGGCUACAGCUCAGCCGAGCCACAGAUGGGAGGGGAGGGUUGAGAGCCCACAGCACCCUUGCUCUGUUCCACCCUAACAUAAGGCCAUGCUGAAUGGUAGCUUUCCAUCCCCUCUGCCCAUCUGGCUUUUCCACCCUGCCCUUAGGUGUGAGGGAGAGGGGUGAUCAUCUAACAUUGCUAAGUCCAGUGAUUCAACAGUGCAGAGGAUGUGCCAGGACCAGGCCACAAAGGUCUUGUCCUGAACAUCUGUCUGCCAACUGGAGGAAGUGCUCAGGUGUGUGACAAGAAAACACAGAAACAAAAACAAAACAAAAAUGAAAACAAGGAAAAAAAAAUACCAAAGGAAGAUCUAAAUUCCUUAAAUUCACUAAAAACUGUGAAAAUUUCCGGCACAUGAUGUUUGAAUAUCAAACGCAGAGAUUUCUGAAGCUUUAAUGCCAAGUUAGUGAGUCUGUUUAGAUUCUCAUCUCCUGCUCAUCUGUGAGUUGGGCGUUGAGCUGUGACCGUUGCUGCCAGAUUCCGACUCUUGAGGGGGACAAUGGGAGGGGAGGUUGGUGCCACUUCUGUCUCUCGGCCAGUCUUGCUGCCUGAGGUACGCCGAGUGCAGCGGGCUGCCCGUUCCUGUGCAUCCAGCUGGUCCUCACACUCUGCCUGGGGGCUAUACGGCAGGGGAAAAGUCCGUCGCUCCCAUGGCUGGACAGACUGUGGACAGACAAAGAGCUCUGGUGAGGACCCAUUCCCAGACUACUUUUUUCCAUGAAAUUGAGACUGGAGUCCUUGAUCAGUCCAACUAGGGUUCAUGGAGUGGUCCAGGAAGACCCCUGUAGGGGUUGGGGUGGGUGUGCUUUUAAUAAUGGCCAGUACAGUUCCACUGUACCUCAAAAAAAGGAAAAGUUUUAUUUUUUUGGAGUGCUGGGGAUUGAUUUCAGGGGACUGUACAUGCUAGGUAAGUGCUCUGCUACUGAGAUACAUCCCCAUUCUUUUUCAUUUUUUGAAGCAGGGUCUGAGUUGCCCAGGCUGGCCUGAAAUGCAUGUUCCUCCUGCUUCAGCCUCUCUGGUAUCUGAGAUUACAGGCAUGUGCCUGCACACCUGGCCCAUCUUACCUUCAAAUAAUCAAUUUCAAGUGUAGCCCUCCAUCCCCUCAAAAUGAGAAAGUAUCAUGAAGAUCUAUCUUCAGCAGGUGCUAUCCUUUGCCAAUUCUGCCCCCAUCUCAUCAACUCCCAUGCAAAGAUGGUAUCCUUUACCUGUUCAUCCAAACCCAGCUCUGGUGUGGAACAGCGGGUGUCUUCACUGGCUAAGUGUCUCAGGGUGUCCCGAGCCACAGGGGUGAGGGGUGCCGAGUGUAAUUCCGGGCUAAUGGGGCUCCUAGGGGACUGACAAUGGGAGAACUCAGACAGAGAGUGGCUACUACUGACAUCAGGGGAGGCGGGCUGUGGGGUGGAGGGGUUGGCACUGCCCAGCUGGGGGGUGGUCCGGCCGUCUGAUGAUCUGUAAGACCUGUACACCAAGGAAGAUAGAUGUCAGUACCUGAGUAAUAGGGAAUUUGUCUGUUUGGGGGGGAUUGGAGGUGAGGAGGAGGCAUGAAAAAGGCAUCCUUACCAAGGAGCUGAGACUGACACCUAUAGUGUUUUCCUGUGAGCCAGCAAAUCUCACUUCUUUCACUGCUGCCCAAAGGGGCAGGUUUACAAUAUGAUGUCUAAGAACUGUGUGUGCUAUCAUCCUAAGAGAAAGCCAUGGCUGAACAAUGACCUUCAAAGC
Heterocephalus glaber (naked mole-rat) is the source of this 2444-nucleotide long non-coding RNA. Lineage: Eukaryota; Metazoa; Chordata; Mammalia; Rodentia; Bathyergidae. The record is from Ensembl.